ACGGGUGCGUAACACGUGAGUUACAUGCCCUGCAGUGGGGAAUAGCCCGCCGAAAGGCGGAUUAAUACCCCAUGGUUCCCGCAAGGGUAAAGGUGGCGCAAGCUGCCGCUGCAGGAUUGGCUCGCGGCCUAUCAGCUAGUUGGCGAGGUAACGGCUCACCAAGGCGACGACGGGUACCUGGUCUGAGAGGAUGAUCAGGCACACUGGAACUGAGACACGGUCCAGACACCUACGGGUGGCAGCAGUCGAGAAUAAUUCACAAUGGGGGAAACCCUGAUGGUGCAACGCCGCGUGGAGGAUGAAGGUCUUCGGAUUGUAAACUCCUGUCAUCGGGGAGUAAGACCUGGCGGUGAAUAGCCGACAGGGUUGAUAGUACCCGAAGAGGAAGGGACGGCUAACUUCGUGCCAGCAGCCGCGGUAAUACGAAGGUCCCAAGCGUUGUUCGGAAUCACUGGGCGUAAAGGGAGCGUAGGCUGCGUGGUAAGUCAGAUGUGAAAUCCCGGGGCUCAACCCCGGAACUGCAUCCGAUACUGCCAUGCUUGAGGGUUGGAGAGGUAGCUGGAAUUCUCGGUGUAGCAGUG
Molecule: ribosomal RNA, 581 nt
Filed under: uncultured Haloferula sp.
Lineage: Bacteria; Pseudomonadati; Verrucomicrobiota; Verrucomicrobiia; Verrucomicrobiales; Verrucomicrobiaceae
Description: bacterial SSU rRNA
Rfam family: Bacterial small subunit ribosomal RNA
Source: RNAcentral